RNAcentral lists this ribosomal RNA (504 nucleotides) under Exaerete smaragdina. RNAcentral's name for it is "partial 16S ribosomal RNA". The stretch from base 366 to 504 matches the Rfam family "Archaeal large subunit ribosomal RNA", at positions 2542 to 2681 of the family's 2987-position model. Lineage: Eukaryota; Metazoa; Arthropoda; Insecta; Hymenoptera; Apidae. The record is from RNAcentral.
GUCACUCUGCUCAAUGAAUAAAUAUUUAAAUAGCUGCAGUAUACCUGACUGUACAAAGGUAGCAUAAUCAAUUGUCUUUUAAUUGAAGAAUGGAAUGAAAGAAUUAAUGAAAUAUAUACUGUCUCUAAUAUAAAAAAUGAAUUUAAAUUUUUAGUUAAAAUGCUAAAAUUAAAUUAUGGGACGAUAAGACCCUCUAGAAUUUUAUAUUAAUAAUAUUUAAAUAUUAUUUUUUAAUUUUUAAAAUAAUAUUAAUAUUUAAUUGGGAGGAUUAAUAAAUUUAAUAAACUUUAUUAAAUUAUUUAAACUUUAAUUUAAGAAAUUUAAUUUGAUAUAAUAUUAUUAAAAUUAGAAUAAAUUACCUUAGGGAUAACAGCGUAAUAUCUUUUUAGAGUUCUUAUUAAUAAAGAUGUUUGCGACCUCGAUGUUGAAUUAAGAUAAAUUUUAAAUGAAGAAAUUUAAGUAUUAAGUCUGUUCGACUUUUAAAAUCUUACAUGAUUUGAGUUC